Molecule: long non-coding RNA, 307 nt
Filed under: Androctonus crassicauda
Lineage: Eukaryota; Metazoa; Arthropoda; Arachnida; Scorpiones; Buthidae
Source: RNAcentral
CCAUACUAUAUUUACUAUAUUUAUCAGAAAUUAGUCUUUUAAUCAUUUGUCAAGAAGUACUCGUCGAGGAGAAGGUUUGUACAAAGAUGUUUUUGUAUUUAUGAAAUGUCAAAAACCUUCGCCUCGCACAAUUCUCAAUGGCUUAUUGCAUUUACUCACCACAAAUAUAAAAGUUUGAUUUACCUUAUUUCUGCUGAUCCAACUGAUUUGAACUCCUCAAUGCUUCUAAAUGCCUCAGAAAUUUUUUUUUUUUUUGUUUUGCUGGGAGAGGUUGUGACCACCAUGCUUUGUCAGUAUGUUUUGAUAA